Molecule: long non-coding RNA, 861 nt
Filed under: Capsicum annuum
Lineage: Eukaryota; Viridiplantae; Streptophyta; Magnoliopsida; Solanales; Solanaceae
Description: long non-coding RNA (CANN_LNC014660)
Source: RNAcentral
AAAAGAGAGAAAAAAUUAAGAGUGAGAAAGUUUUCAUAAAAUUCUUAGCUUUUCUUAAAUUUCUUAGUUUCCAAAGUUUGUAAGUUACUUAAAAAAAAAAGAGUGUGAAAAGUAUGAAAAGUUUUCUUAGUUCUUCAUUUUCCGGUAGCUGUCAAGUCUUCAGGGGACUCCCGAAAGGGAAACCUCACUUUUUUCUUAAGACAUGUAAGUAGUAGUUACAUAGGUCUUUGUAAUUUUCUCCCAAGUUUGUAAAUUAUAUUUGAAUUAAUUAAGUUUACAUUUUCCUUCACAUAUGUUUUAUUAGUAAGAUCUGGAUCACCGGCGGUUUUCCGACAGUUUUCCUGAUCUUAUAAAAUUUGUAAAUCACUUAUAAAAUUACCCUCAGUAUAUGGUUACUCUCUCAGUGUUUUAGCAAUAGCGAUGGAUUAAUCUGUAAAUUCCUAGGGAUUUGGAAAGUCCGAAGAAGAUUGAAAAAAGGACUGUUGUUAUUCUCCCAGGGUGUGAUUAAAAAAGAUUUUGCUAAAAUACCUAAAAACGAAGAGAAAGAGAUGAACAGGGUAUAAAAAUAAAAAAAAAUCAAAAACCCAAAAAAUACAAAAAUAAUAUAUUUUAGGAGAAAAUACACUUGGACCUUUAUGACUUGGACACUUACACUAAACUAAGGACAACGAAGGAGGGAGUACUGAGUGGAAUUUUACACCAUAUUAAAACAAACUCACGAUAUUUCUUCUUUAAAAUCUUAAUAUUACUCACCUGCUUUAAUAACUUAAAAAAUUAGUUACCUGCUUUAAUAACUUGUUAUAAUAAUUUACUUGCUAUAUUUAUCUGUCUAUUUUAUUAUACUAACUAUAUCCACUUGUC